RNAcentral lists this ribosomal RNA (273 nucleotides) under uncultured bacterium. Its description in RNAcentral is "partial 16S ribosomal RNA". It matches the Rfam family "Bacterial small subunit ribosomal RNA", at positions 524 to 796 of the family's 1533-position model. The record is from RNAcentral.
UACGUAGGGCGCAAGCGUUGUCCGGAAUUAUUGGGCGUAAAGAGCUCGUAGGCGGUUUGUCGCGUCUGCUGUGAAAGCCCGGGGCUCAACCCCGGGUCUGCAGUGGGUACGGGCAGACUAGAGUGCAGUAGGGGAGACUGGAAUUCCUGGUGUAGCGGUGAAAUGCGCAGAUAUCAGGAGGAACACCGAUGGCGAAGGCAGGUCUCUGGGCUGUUACUGACGCUGAGGAGCGAAAGCAUGGGGAGCGAACAGGAUUAGAUACCCCGGUAGUCC